ACGCACGCUGGCGGCGUGCUUAACACAUGCCAGUCGAACGAUGAAGAAGAGAAACGCGAACUUCGGUUCAAAUUUCACUUCGGAUUAGUGGCAGACGGGUGAGUAACGCGUGAGCAACCUACCUCUUACAAAGGGAUAGCCUCGGGAAACCGUGAUUAAUACCAUAUGACACAUUCAUAAGGCAUCUUAAGAAUGUUAAAGCUACGGCGGUAAGAGAUGGGCUCGCGUCCCAUUAGCUAGUUGGUGAGGUAACGGCCCACCAAGGCGACGAUGGGUAACCGGCCUGAGAGGGUGAACGGUCACAUUGGAACUGAGACACGGUCCAAACUCCUACGGGAGGCAGCAGUGGGGAAUAUUGCACAAUGGAGGGAACUCUGAUGCAGCGACGCCGCGUGAGCGAUGAAGGAAUUCGUUUCGUAAAGCUCUGUUCUAUGGGAAGAAAAGGACUGUACCAUAGGAGAAAGCCCCGGCUAAAUACGUG
This 481-nucleotide ribosomal RNA is filed under the name uncultured bacterium. RNAcentral's name for it is "partial 16S ribosomal RNA". It matches the Rfam family "Bacterial small subunit ribosomal RNA", at positions 29 to 507 of the family's 1533-position model. The record is from RNAcentral.